RNAcentral lists this ribosomal RNA (372 nucleotides) under uncultured bacterium. RNAcentral describes it as "partial 16S ribosomal RNA". It matches the Rfam family "Bacterial small subunit ribosomal RNA", at positions 338 to 707 of the family's 1533-position model. The record is from RNAcentral.
CCUACGGGAUGCAGCAGUGAGGAAUAUUGGUCAAUGGGCGCGAGCCUGAACCAGGCAAGUAGCGUGAAGGAUGACUGACCUACGGGUUGUAAACUUCUUUUAUAAAUGUAUAAAGUGAGGCACGUGUGCCUUUUUUUAUGUACUUUAUGAAUAAGGAUCGUCUAACUCCGUGCCAGCAGCGGCGGUAAUUCGGAGGAUCCGAGUGUUAUCUGGAUUUAUUUGGUUUAAAGGGAGCGUCGAUGGGUUGUUAAGUAAGUUGUGAAAGUUUGCGGCUCAAGAGUAAGAUUGCAAUUGAUAAUGGCAGCCUUGAGUACAGUUGAGGUAGGUGGAAUUCGUGGUGUAGCGGUGAAAUGCUUAGAUAUCACGAAGAAC